GAUGAACGCUGGCGGCGUGCCUAAUACAUGCAAGUCGAGCGAACAGACGAGGAGCUUGCUCCUCUGACGUUAGCGGCGGACGGGUGAGUAACACGUGGCUAACCUACCUAUAAGACUGGGAUAACUUCGGGAAACCGGAGCUAAUACCGGAUAAUAUAUUGAACCGCAUGGUUCAAUAGUGAAAGACGGUUUUGCUGUCACUUAUAGAUGGAUCCGCGCCGCAUUAGCUAGUUGGUAAGGUAACGGCUUACCAAGGCAACGAUGCGUAGCCGGCCUGAGAGAGUGAUCAGCAACACUGGAACUGAGACACGGUCCAGACUCCUACGGGAGGCAGCAGUAGGGAAUCUUCCGCAAUGGGCGAAAGCCUGACGGAGCAACGCCGCGUGAGUGAUGAAGGUCUUCGGAUCGUAAAGCUCUGUUAUUGGGGAAGAACGAAUGUGUAAGUAACUAUGCACGUCUUGACGGUACCUAAUCAGAAAGCCACGGCUAACUACGUG
RNAcentral lists this ribosomal RNA (497 nucleotides) under uncultured bacterium. RNAcentral's name for it is "partial 16S ribosomal RNA". It matches the Rfam family "Bacterial small subunit ribosomal RNA", at positions 28 to 507 of the family's 1533-position model. The record is from RNAcentral.